RNAcentral lists this long non-coding RNA (408 nucleotides) under Salmo salar (Atlantic salmon). Its description in RNAcentral is "lncRNA (ENSSSAG00000083153.1, ENSSSAG00020036136.1, ENSSSAG00075034473.1)". The record is from RNAcentral. Lineage: Eukaryota; Metazoa; Chordata; Actinopteri; Salmoniformes; Salmonidae.
CUACUACACUGUCUGAGCCAAGGUCUACAUGCUUUCUGGGUUGAAGCUAUGAACCCACAGGCUUGGCUCGGUCAUCCCUUUCAGACUUUUGGGAGGGAGGAUGGACAGACAAUGAGCCUGUCAUAGUGGAUGCAAGUAAUGUCCCCACGCGCUCUGACAGCUUUCAUGGCUGGGGUAAGUUCUUUCCUCUUCUUCCUCUUCUGGCGCACAGCUCCAGGAUAGUCCUAGACAUUCCGCACAAGUUCUUGGCUCUUUCCAGAACAGCUACCUUGUCCUUGAUCCUCAGGAACUUGACCACUAUCGGCCUGGGCCUGUCACCUGGGCCAGUGUUGGGUUUUCCAGUCCUGUCGGCGCACUCCACCUCACUCUUCUUGUGGUCCAUAUUCUGUUUCUAAGUGAUAAUUUCCC